GUGACGGAGCGACGCCGCGUGUGGGACGAAGCCCUUCGGGGUGUAAACUCCUGUCGAGGGGGAGGAAGGCGCAAGCUUGACCGAUCCCUGGAGGAAGCACGGGCUAAGUUCGUGCCAGCAGCCGCGGUAAGACGAACCGUGCGAACGUUAUUCGGAAUCACUGGGCUUAAAGCGCGUGUAGGCGGGACGGCACGUCCGACGUUGAAAUCCCCCGGCUCAACCGGGGAACGGGCGCGGAUACGACCGUCCUCGAGGAACGUAGGGGGACCUGGAACUUCCGGUGGAGCGGUGAAAUGCGUUGAGAUCGGAAGGAACGCCCGUGGCGAAAGCGAGGUCCUGGACGUUUACUGACGCUGAGACGCGAAAGCCAGGGGAGCAAACGGGAUUAGAUACCCCGGUAGUCCUGGCCGUAAACGAU
RNAcentral lists this ribosomal RNA (418 nucleotides) under uncultured anaerobic ammonium-oxidizing bacterium. RNAcentral's name for it is "bacterial SSU rRNA". It matches the Rfam family "Bacterial small subunit ribosomal RNA", at positions 383 to 810 of the family's 1533-position model. The record is from RNAcentral.